This 69-nucleotide transfer RNA is filed under the name Pachyhynobius shangchengensis (Shangcheng stout salamander). RNAcentral describes it as "tRNA-Gly". It matches the Rfam family "tRNA". From Rfam's summary of the family: Transfer RNA (tRNA) molecules are approximately 80 nucleotides in length. Their secondary structure includes four short double-helical elements and three loops (D, anti-codon, and T loops). The record is from RNAcentral. Lineage: Eukaryota; Metazoa; Chordata; Amphibia; Caudata; Hynobiidae.
GUCUUUUUAGUAAAAAUAAUACAAAUGACUUCCAAUCAUUUAACCUUAGUUUAAACCUAAGAAAAGAUA